RNAcentral lists this long non-coding RNA (1076 nucleotides) under Fragaria vesca (wild strawberry). RNAcentral describes it as "long non-coding RNA (FVES_LNC005163)". Lineage: Eukaryota; Viridiplantae; Streptophyta; Magnoliopsida; Rosales; Rosaceae. The record is from RNAcentral.
UGGAGGCCCAACCCAUUUCCUCUCUUUCUCUUCUUCUCUCUUUUCUCUUCCUCCUCUCUCCCGUGCUCUCCUCCCACUGCCGGACUGUCCAGCCACCAACUGCCGCCGUCCGGCCAGCCACCGGCCGCCGCUCCACCCCAGUUCGGACCCCCAUCUCCUCCUCUCCCUCCCCGGCCUAGCCCCCGAGCCUCUAACCCGCCGGAAGAGGAGAAAACCCGCCGGAAACGCCGGGAAGCAUUUCGCCGGAACUCCCUCCUCCGGCCACCAAUCCGGGCAAGCUUGGUACGGUUUUGUAGCCCUCCAACCCAGCAGCCUUGCCCUAAAAGGACUCACUCCCUCUUGAGCUAGGUAAGGAGAAAUUUGAGGUGGAAGUUUUAUGGUGUUUUUGAUGUUUUUAGUCGAUUUCCCUAGUUAGGCUUGGAAUUGGUGUUUGUGCUAGUUAUGAAAGUUGUAGAGCAUGAUGAGAGGAAGAUGCUGUUAAAAUUUCAUAGGUUUUGGAGGUCGCCGGAAUUGACCUCCGGCCGCCGCUGCCGGUUGGGAGAUUUUAAUGUUGUUAAAUUUGGAAUAUUAAGGGGAGUUUAUUGAAGUGAGUUAUGGAAUUUUUGGAUGAGUUUUGGAUAGGUUUAUGAAUUUCCGAAGUUUGGUAUUUUUGGCUGUUAAUUAAUGUAGAAUCUGGCCGUAAGAUUUAAGUCGUAUUUUUGGGGAGGUUAUAUUUACGACUGCCGAGGAUGAUAUUUAAGUUCGGAUCGUUCGGAUCGUUCCGAUUUAAGAAUAUCGAAGUUAGGCAAUGAUGAGCGUGUUUAUGGCUCUCGGGAAAUUUUGUCUAUUUUGAUUAAUUAUUGGAUUGUUAGUUGGGAAAUUAAUAUUAUUUCUGGAUCAGGUCGUGAGGAGGCUCGAGCUGACGAGGCCCCAGAUCGACAUCAGGCUUAGGCCUAAUUUGUGAGUGGACUUUUGUUUUAAAUAAUGUGCGUGCGAAAUAAUUUAUGUUGUUGGAGAAUAACCGAAAUUGAGAAUUUCGGUGAGUGUAUAUAUAUAUAUAUCCAUAUGUGAAUGAUUAUGAGAAUAAUAUGUAUAUG